GAUGAACGCUGGCGGCGUGCCUAAUACAUGCAAGUCGAGCGAACAGACGAGGAGCUUGCUCCUCUGACGUUAGCGGCGGACGGGUGAGUAACACGUGGAUAACCUACCUAUAAGACUGGGAUAACUUCGGGAAACCGGAGCUAAUACCGGAUAAUAUAUUGAACCGCAUGGUUCAAUAGUGAAAGACGGUUUUGCUGUCACUUAUAGAUGGAUCCGCGCCGCAUUAGCUAGUUGGUAAGGUAACGGCUUAUCAAGGCAACGAUGCGUAGCCGACCUGAGAGGGUGAUCGGCCACACUGGAACUGAGACACGGUCCAGACUCCUACGGGAGGCAGCAGUAGGGAAUCUUCCGCAAUGGGCGAAAGCUUGACGGAGCAACGCCGCGUGAGUGAUGAAGGUCUUCGGAUCGUAAAACUCUGUUAUUAGGGAAGAACAAAUGUGUAAGUAACUAUGCACGUCUUGACGGUACCUAAUCAGAAAGCCACGGCUAACUACGUG
This 497-nucleotide ribosomal RNA is filed under the name uncultured bacterium. Its description in RNAcentral is "partial 16S ribosomal RNA". It matches the Rfam family "Bacterial small subunit ribosomal RNA", at positions 28 to 507 of the family's 1533-position model. The record is from RNAcentral.